RNAcentral lists this unclassified non-coding RNA (303 nucleotides) under Hevea brasiliensis (rubber tree). Lineage: Eukaryota; Viridiplantae; Streptophyta; Magnoliopsida; Malpighiales; Euphorbiaceae. The record is from RNAcentral.
GAGAAACACCAUAUCCACGUAUAUUGAAUCAAAUAACACUGUAUUGAUCAAACCAAAUGACAGUCUUCAAUUGUAACGCAGGUAAUAGAAACAAACUUUAACAAAAUUCUAUAAUGUCAAACCGAUAUAUAUAUAUAUAUAUAACAUGCUAAGGUAGGUCACCUUCAAGCCCCACGGGCCAUGGCUUGCCCCCCGGGCGGGAUCAUAACCAGGACCGGUCGAGCAUUGAACCCAGGAUGAGGCAGCCUACGACGGAUCUCACGACCUUCCUGGCAAAGUGCACACGGGUGACAGAACACAUGA